GAGGGUAUGACUCAGUGGUAGAGUGCAUGCCUAGCAUGCAUAAGGUCCUGGGUUCAAUCCCCAGUACCUCCA
Molecule: transfer RNA, 72 nt
Organism: Camelus ferus (Wild Bactrian camel)
Lineage: Eukaryota; Metazoa; Chordata; Mammalia; Artiodactyla; Camelidae
Rfam family: tRNA
About the family: Transfer RNA (tRNA) molecules are approximately 80 nucleotides in length. Their secondary structure includes four short double-helical elements and three loops (D, anti-codon, and T loops).
Source: Rfam